GUGGAUUAGAUACCCGGGUAGUCCACGCCGUAAACGAUGAUCACUCGCUGUUAGCGAUACACAGUUAGCGGCUAAGCAAAAGCAUUAAGUGAUCCACCUGGGGAGUACGGCCGCAAGGCUGAAACUCAAAGGAAUUGACGGGGGCCCGCACAAGCGGAGGAACAUGUGGUUUAAUUCGAUGAUACGCGAGGAACCUUACCUGGGCUUAAAUGUAGAGUGCAUUAGUGGGAAACCAUUAUUUUCUUCGGAACUCUCUGCAAGGUGCUGCACGGUCGUCGUCAACU
This 284-nucleotide ribosomal RNA is filed under the name uncultured bacterium. RNAcentral describes it as "partial 16S ribosomal RNA". It matches the Rfam family "Bacterial small subunit ribosomal RNA", at positions 773 to 1060 of the family's 1533-position model. The record is from RNAcentral.